RNAcentral lists this long non-coding RNA (363 nucleotides) under Gallus gallus (chicken). Its description in RNAcentral is "long non-coding RNA NONGGAT002249". The record is from RNAcentral. Lineage: Eukaryota; Metazoa; Chordata; Aves; Galliformes; Phasianidae.
CCCGCUCGCUGGCAGCCCGUCACCCUUUCCAUGGUUUAAGUGCUCAUCCCAGGGGCAGGCGGUGGGGCCGCUGCCCGGCGCUUCCCGCUUAGCCCUGGAUCCGCUCCAGCGCGCGUGAGCAGCACGAGCCCGUGGGGAGCGCCGGGAGGCGCCGCUCGGAGGGGCUUUCCAGCCACAUCCACAUCUGAACCUCACGGCGAGGCGAAGGCGUUGGGGAGAGGCCGAGAUGGAGAUCUGCUCACAUCCCAGAGCGCUCAGAGCGAUGACUCAAAGGAUUCCUGGCGUUACUGCACGGCGAGGUGCAGCGCGCUGCCACCGCCGCCGUCAGCACAACUGCGCUCCCUCGGACAGCUGCGAGUGCUC